UACGUAGGGGGCAAGCGUUGUCCGGAAUUAUUGGGCGUAAAGCGCACGUAGGCGGCUUUCUAAGUCAGGGGUGAAAUCCUGGAGCUCAACUCCAGAACUGCCUUUGAUACUGGAGAGCUUGAGUCCGGGAGAGGUGAGUGGAACUCCGAGUGUAGAGGUGAAAUUCGUAGAUAUUCGGAAGAACACCAGUGGCGAAGGCGGCUCACUGGCCCGGUACUGACGCUGAUGUGCGAAAGCGUGGGGAGCAAACAGG
RNAcentral lists this ribosomal RNA (253 nucleotides) under uncultured bacterium. Its description in RNAcentral is "partial 16S ribosomal RNA". It matches the Rfam family "Bacterial small subunit ribosomal RNA", at positions 524 to 776 of the family's 1533-position model. The record is from RNAcentral.